GGUCUGCAAGUGUGGGCACCCCAAGUUUUUCAACGCGACGGAGCCCCUCUGCGAGGGGAAGAGCGUUGCUUGCGAGAUGAACAAGUUUACGGACAUGAUGGCUUACUUGGCAGCAACCAAUCCGGAGUUCGGGCAGGUAAUAGUAGUUGAUCCGGGCUUUGAGUUGUUCACA
RNAcentral lists this non-coding RNA (172 nucleotides) under Alexandrium tamarense. Lineage: Eukaryota; Dinophyceae; Gonyaulacales; Pyrocystaceae. The record is from RNAcentral.